GGAGGAAGGUGGGGAUGACGUCAAAUCAUCAUGCCCCUUAUGUCUUGGGCUUCACGCAUGCUACAAUGGCCGGUACAAAGGGCUGCAAUACCGUGAGGUGGAGCGAAUCCCAAAAAGCCGGUCCCAGUUCGGAUUGAGGUCUGCAACUCGACCUCAUGAAGUCGGAGUCGCUAGUAAUCGCAGAUCAGCAACGCUGCGGUGAAUACGUUCCCGGGUCUUG
RNAcentral lists this ribosomal RNA (220 nucleotides) under Paraphysomonas vestita. Its description in RNAcentral is "partial Bacterial small subunit ribosomal RNA". It matches the Rfam family "Bacterial small subunit ribosomal RNA", at positions 1165 to 1383 of the family's 1533-position model. The record is from RNAcentral. Lineage: Eukaryota; Chrysophyceae; Chromulinales; Paraphysomonadaceae.